GUCGCCCCGUGUAACCAACGUCGCCUCUCGUUAACCUAGCCGUUGGUGGUCCACUGCAGCGCUGGAGUGGGGCGGACAGGGACGUUCAUCGCUCUGGACUAUCUGAUGGACCAGGCUGAGGCAGAGCACAGGGUCAACGUGUUCCAGUGUGUGUCUAGGAUGAGGCAGGCCAGGAUGAACAUGGUCCAGACAGUGCAUCAGUUCGAGUUCGUUCAUAUCGUGGUCCUUGAGGCCCUGGAGAGUAGAGGCACAUUCUACACAAUGACUGAAUUCAACCGCAUUUUCGGACGGGAGAGAAACUACAGCAAACAAGACACUACCUUGAAGAAGGAAUUUAAAGUAACGCUAAACAUUACGAUAGUCUUAUAAAACCA
Molecule: long non-coding RNA, 374 nt
Organism: Haliotis rubra (blacklip abalone)
Lineage: Eukaryota; Metazoa; Mollusca; Gastropoda; Lepetellida; Haliotidae
Exons: 3
Source: RefSeq, a predicted model, not a curated record